GACGUAGGAGGCGAGCGUUGUCCGGAUUCAUUGGGCGUAAAGAGCACGCAGGCGGUUUGGCAAGUCGGAUGUGAAAUCCCGAAGCUCAACUACGGGCCUGCAUCCGAAACUGCCCGACUAGAGGUAGGUAGGGGAGAUCGGAAUUCCUGGUGUAGCGGUGAAAUGCGCAGAUAUCAGGAGGAACACCGGUGGCGAAGGCGGAUCUCUGGGCCUUACCUGACGCUCAGGUGCGAAAGCUAGGGGAGCGAACAGG
Molecule: ribosomal RNA, 253 nt
Filed under: uncultured bacterium
Lineage: Bacteria
Description: partial 16S ribosomal RNA
Rfam family: Bacterial small subunit ribosomal RNA
Source: RNAcentral